This 582-nucleotide small RNA is filed under the name Pongo abelii (Sumatran orangutan). RNAcentral describes it as "retained intron". The record is from RNAcentral. Lineage: Eukaryota; Metazoa; Chordata; Mammalia; Primates; Hominidae.
CAUUUCUUGACUUCCUGUGUAUACCUCAUUCCAGGAAAGAACUCACAAUAGGAAGGAACUCUUGACCUCUCAGGGUUGUGGUAGUGAGGAUCAAUUCUUCAAGGACAAGGACUUGGACUUUCAUUGUUGUGCCCUUAAAAGCUUAUCACAGUGCCUGAUACUUAGUGGAUUCUCAAUAAGUAUUCCUUAGCCAGUAAGUCUUCAGCAUUUAACAGGAAAAUCAUGAGGCCCAUUGUGUGGAAUGACUGCUAGCUAGAGUAACAGUGAGGAGAAAAACCUAUUGUAAAAUGAUUGUUUGAGGCUCUUUUUUUCCUCCCCACAAAGGGAUUUGCUUCCUAAGGAGAAGAACUUGGAAACUCUGUUGACCUUGGCUUUUCUAGAAAUAGAUAAAGCCUUUUCGAGUCAUGCCCGCCUGUCUGCUGAUGCAACUCUUCUGACCUCUGGGACUACUGCAACAGUAGCCCUAUUGCGAGAUGGUAUUGAACUGGUUGUAGCCAGUGUUGGGGACAGCCGGGCUAUUUUGUGUAGAAAAGGAAAACCCAUGAAGCUGACCAUUGACCAUACUCCAGAAAGAAAAGAUGA